CAUCCCUCUGAGUGUUGUGACUUAAGUAUGCAAAAUAAGUGUUUUGUAGUCGUGAACGUAGUUUGGCUCUGCCUGUAGAUCAAUUAUUGUGCUUUUUAUCGAAAGAGUGUUGGCUUAAUUUUUAAGAUUGCAAAUAUUAUGACCAUAUUUUCUGAAUCUAGAUAAUGAAAAUGAGAACGAACGAUUACUAUGUGAAUGCCAGCUUGACCCACACAUCACUGAAAAAGUCUAAAUGGCAGAUAGAAAAACACAUGUAAUAGGAUUAAGGAGGUAAGUAACCAGAACAGAGUACUGAGCCAUACGUGGAACAGGAUUUGGAUUGGAGCCUGGCGGAGAAGGAGGUGUGAAAGUCCGCGGAGAGACUGAUCUCUCAAGUCUGGGUUAAGACCGGUCAGAACUUUUGAAGCAGAGAUCAUCUCCAAACGAAACCAAUUGCUCAGUCGAAAAUAGCACUGGGUAUUAUACUUAGAAAAAAACCCACUCAUUUAUUGAUUGCUCUAUUUCCUGAUUCAGAGGUGGCAACCCGAGGGCAAAGAGAAAGGGAAAUUUCAGUACCAUGUAUUGGCCUCUUACAGUGUGGAGCUGAUUCUGUUCCACGACCUUUCUCUCUACAAUAUAACAAUUUCAAGUAAUGUGUCAAAUUUAGGCAACCAAAAAAUGUUUUCCUUCGCUCCUAGGACUUUAAUUUGAAACAUGGUGUCUUUUGAUUUGUAUGUAGAUUUAAUGUAACCACCAGCUACAUAGAAAAAACUGGUGUUGAUACCUUGUUAAAGUAAAAACGAGUCCAAGCUCAUCUAUCUGCAUAUUUGGCAACAGUAGCAAAUGUACAUUGUGGCAAAUUUCAUUUAGCCUUACCAAAGAAAAUGAAAAGGUCCUACCUGCUAAAUGUCCCAAGCUCCUGGACCCCUCUACUCCUGUACACAUAACACUACUUUAAAAGAUUGUGGUUUACUUCCUCAUGAUGUUGAGGCUUUUGUCGUUUAUUGAGGUUUAUCGUCAGUUUUUUAGUUUCCUCAAAAUGUGCAGAAGCACUUAAUGCGAUUUUUAAUUUCAUAGAAAUGGAAGGAGAUGGUCUAUUUAGGCAUAUGCCUUCAAGGCAGCUGUCAUUGCUAGCCAUAGAAAAUAUGUUAAAACAUGGGCCUGCUGUAAAAUCAUUAUUUUCAAAGUGUGGGAUAAGAAGAAUGUCCUUCUCUCAUUUGGAAAUACUUUGAGGAUGGGAAUGGAGAAAAGUACAGUAAAACAGAAAUUUAUAUGCGCUUUCUCCAAUAGUGCAUGACGUUAUGUUAUAUAGAUUGUGACAAAAACUCAUAGUCUGAAAAAAAUGAUUCAUGGGAGAUGAUAUGACUGCUUCAAGUAAUAAUAAUAAUAAUAAUACCAGGAAGGGGCAGCCAAGUAGUCAAGUUAAAUAGGACUUUCUCAAUUUAUUUUCUAAAAUUGUAAUUUAUUUGGAAUUCAAGUUUUAUUUCACAAGUUUAAAUUACUGCUGUGCUUUUUAUUGAGAUAAGGAGAACUGGAAAAGAAUCAGGUUUGGGGGUUUGAUAGGAAAUCAAGAGAUCUUUGAACAUGUUAAGUUUGAGAUGCCUCUUAGACAUUCAGUGGAGAUGUCAGUCAUAUAACAGGAUAUGCUCACUGGAGAGAUGAGGUUGGAAGUUUAAGUCUGGGAAUCAUCAGGGUAUAGAUGGUAUUUAAAGUCAGGUGAUCAGGCAAGCUCAUGUAAGGAGAGGAUGUACAUAGUGAAUACAUGAAGACUCAGGUCAGGAUCCUGGAGAACUCCAAAGAGAGUUUGGAGAGAGAAUGGAAAGAGGAGGAAAUAAGUAGGAACUAUGUUCAAGUAGAAAGAAUACCAAGAGAGAAGGAUGUUCCAAAAUACAAGUGAAGAAUGUAUUUCCAAAGGAGAGAAUAUUUUGGGCCAAGUGUUACUGAGAAGCUGAGCAAACUGAAGACAUAAUUGACCACUGGAUUUUGCAAGAUGGAGGUUGCUGGGACUUGACAAGGAAGUUUCAGUGGAGCUGGAGGGGAUAAAAGCUUGGUUUAGAGUGGGGUAUGUGGAGGGGCACAGUUCAAGGUAUGCUCUACCCAUUCCACUAUUCAGAUUCAGGUUUGGAGAAAGUGGCGGUGUGUUUGAUUUGACCAAGGGCUGGGAGUGGGGCAAAGGAGAUGAAGGUUUGGCAAGCUAAAAUGCCAAGCAAUGCUGGCAAUAAAUCAUGAAAUCCAAGCUGUAGAAAGAAAAAAGUAAAAAGAGACCCUUUCUCCUCCUUUUUCUCCUCAUCCUCCUGCCUCUAUCUCUUCAGUUUCUGCAACCUCUAAAUUCUGAGUCAAUUCUCUUCAAGUCUGAGGAGAUUCUCAUUAAAUCAUCUGCAUUGGUUCUGUGGCCUUCCUUUUAUUUAGCUCCAAAUCCAGUCUUGCGAACCUUGAGAACUUAAAAAUAUUUUAGCACACAAUAGCAUUUCUUCAUCUGCAUGAACAACCGUGUUAAGGCACCAGCCUCAAGGCCUGCACUCUCAUUGUUUCCUCUCUCAUGUUCAAGUCCCGUUUCUCUGUAAGAAAAGCAACAUUUUGGAGAAGACCUCUGAUCACAGGCAAAAGGCAUCACAUUUGCAUCCUUUUUAAUCCCCUCCUUUGUUUUACUUUUCACAUUCUACCAGCUUCCAAGUCCUGUGAAUUUUACAUCCUUGGUACUUCCUGAAUCUGUCUCCUUUAUUGCACACAGAUCACUGCCAUUGCUUUACCUCUCCUUUUCUCCUCCUCUUCCUUCCAUGUUUUUCCCUGGCUAUUGCAACAGCCUCCAAUCCAACAGGACAAGCUUGUGAAAAUACCAGUCACACUGACCUUUAUGUUCAGGAGGGCAUUUCUUUGUCUUCCCAAAGCCUUUGAGGUAAAGUUCAAUUUUGGUAACAUGGAAGAGACAGCUCACAAAGUGUUCUCAUUGUCUGCUAAUAUGUAACAAGGAAUCCCAAAACAUGAUGGGUUGUGGUAUACAGAAUAAUGGCCAUUCUAAAGGUAUUCUCUAAUCCCUGGAACCUAUGACUGUCACCUUACAUGGUAAAAGGGAGUUACAGUUGUGAUUAAGAUUAAGGACCAUGAGAUGGGGAUAUGACCCUAAUCACAAGCCCUUAAAUGUGGCAGGGGACGUGGAAGAGAGAUGCGUGUGAGGACUCCACCCACCACCGAUGGCUUUGGGGAGCCAAGGAAUGUAGCAGGCUUUAGAAGCAGGGAGUGGCCAUUAACUUAUAGCCAGCAGAAAAGAGACAGCUCUGUCCUUUAACUGCAAAGAAACAAACUCUGUAAGCAAUGCAAAGGAGGAAACGGAUUCUACCCUAGAGCCUCCAGAAAGGAACUCAGGCUGCCAAUACCUUGCCUUCAGCGUGAUGAGACCGUACCCAUCACUUCUGACUACAAAGGUCUAAGAGAAUAAAUUUGUGUCAUUUAAAGCCAGUAAGUUUGCUAUGAUAGCCACAGAAAACCAUUUUAUUAUCUCUCUUGAUUCUGUGGGUUGACAGGUCUCAUCUGGGCAAUUUUGCUCCACGUGGUAUCAACACGAACUCCAGCCCCCUAGGACCUGACUGGGCUGAGAUGUCCAAGACGGCUCACUCACGUGGCUGGUGUUGGCAGUUGGUGUCGGUGAUCUGCUAGGAGCUCCACUGAGGCUGUUGCCCAGAGGGCCUGGGUGUGAUCUUUCCAUGUGAUUUGGACUUCUCCGAGUGUACUGGCUGGGUUCUGAGAGGUUCAGAUUCAGAUUGAGAAUUUCAAGAAAUCAAGUCAGAAGCUGCAUUUUAGCGAGAUCCCCGGCUGGGUUUUGUAUGUUCAUUGAAGUUUGCGAAGACCUCAACGCUCAACGCAGUCCUUGACCUUUGAUAAGUUUACGACACUCUGGCAAAGAUUCUGAGGACAACAUGAUAAGGGAAUCUUAUUCAUAACUCUGCCAGAGCUUUCUGCGCCUCAUCGUCUCUGUUCCAUCAGCCUCUUCUAGCAAUGUAGCUGGUGGCGGGAGGGGCAGAGCGAAGAAGUCUCCGCUGGGGUGGUGCCGCGUAGCACCGUAGAGCCGGCGGUAGCAGCCUCCUGGCCCGCGGCGCCGCAGCUCCUCCCGCCGGGCACGGUGGCGCGCGCCUGUAAUCCCAGUUUCUCGGGAGGCUGAGGCCGGUGGAUCGUGGAUUCCCGGGGGUUCGGGACUGCAGCUCUGCGUAGAGCGGGCGUCCGCACUGGGCCUGGCAUCAACAUGGGGCUCCCGGGGGAGCCCGGGGGGACCAGGUUGUCUAAGGAGGGGGGGACCCGGCCCAGGCCGGACACGGAGCAGGUCAAACUCCCCGUGCUGGGCGGCGGUGGGACCGCGCCUGCGAGCAGUGUCUGUAGUUCCGCCCGGACAUCCGACGAGACCCGGUCUCUUUUUUGUUAAUAUUAAUUUCCCUAAGGAGUCUCUAAAAAAUUGUUUUUCUCUAGCAUUUUUUUGCCCCCAGCAGACCACCUGACUUCAUGGGAAGGGGGGGAGGAGGGGGGGGACGGGUAUACGCACUAUUGUUAAAAGAUAAACGGAGGCAUAUAAAACUUUUUAAGAUUUUAUUUGCGCAAAAAAUCGAUUCCAACUGAGCCAGAACCAAGAAAGAAGAUACGUUCUAAAUAUUACAAAGAAGAAGGAAAAGUGGUUUUUCUUCACCUUUGGAUCUAUCUCUUUCGUUUAAAGUGAUACUCAUACUUCGGCUUCUCCGACUGGAAGAAUCGUUUUAUUGAAUAAUCCUCUUGUGUCUUCCUUUACGAAUCUGAGAAAAAGGUUGCCCAUUUUUUCGGUCCAUCAUUUCGGUUGCGCGUAUUUUCAUGUUUAAUACCUUAAAGUCUCGUCAACGGAUAAGG
Molecule: long non-coding RNA, 4845 nt
Filed under: Sus scrofa (pig)
Lineage: Eukaryota; Metazoa; Chordata; Mammalia; Artiodactyla; Suidae
Description: lncRNA (ENSSSCG00050005910.1)
Rfam family: Metazoan signal recognition particle RNA (bases 4087-4384)
Source: RNAcentral